AUGAGAGGGGGUGGCGUCAGAACUUCAAUCGGAGUGGCUUCCCUGGCCGCGAUGAAGAGGAAGUUUGCAAGCUCUGGGGCAUACUCAUCUGUGAUUGCUUUGGACUUUUUUGAGAAUAUCCUCCACCAAUGCUAUGACUACAUCAAACAAGAAGAAACCCCUAUGAACACGAACCUCGCUCUCGUAAGGGCCGGUAUUUCGAGGCUCCCUUUUCCUUCAUGUUCAAUUGAUGCCAUUCAUGCUGGAGCUGCUAUCCACUGCUGGCCAUCCCCUUCAAUUGCGAAAUGCAGGCCAGCUCCAUUUUUAUCGAAAUGA
Molecule: ribosomal RNA, 315 nt
Filed under: Triticum aestivum (bread wheat)
Lineage: Eukaryota; Viridiplantae; Streptophyta; Magnoliopsida; Poales; Poaceae
Description: partial small subunit ribosomal RNA
Source: RNAcentral